This 426-nucleotide ribosomal RNA is filed under the name uncultured bacterium. RNAcentral's name for it is "partial 16S ribosomal RNA". It matches the Rfam family "Bacterial small subunit ribosomal RNA", at positions 354 to 796 of the family's 1533-position model. The record is from RNAcentral.
GUGAGGAAUUUUCCGCAAUGGGCGAAAGCCUGACGGAGCAAUGCCGCGUGAAGGAUGAAGGCCUAUGGGUUGUAAACUUCUUUUCUUAGAGAAGAAUAUUGACGGUAUCUGAGGAAUAAGCAUCGGCUAACUCUGUGCCAGCAGCCGCGGUAAGACAGAGGAUGCAAGCGUUAUCCGGAAUGAUUGGGCGUAAAGCGUCUGUAGGUGGCUUCAAAAGUCUCCUGUCAAAGAGCAGGGUUUAACCCUGCGCCGGCAGGAGAAACUCUGAGUCUAGAGUUUGGUAGGGGCAGAGGAAAUUCCCGGUGGAGCGGUGACAUGCGUAGAGAUCGGGAGGAACACCAAAGGCGAAAGCACUCUGCUGGGCCACAACUGACACUGAGAGACGAAAGCGAGGGGAGCAAAAGGGAUUAGAAACCCGAGUAGUCC